GUUCUAAGGUGUAACCCACAUAUUUAAUUGCAAAUUAAAAGUUACUAAACAACAUUUAGUUAGAACU
This 67-nucleotide transfer RNA is filed under the name Cucumaria pseudocurata. Its description in RNAcentral is "tRNA-Cys". Lineage: Eukaryota; Metazoa; Echinodermata; Holothuroidea; Dendrochirotida; Cucumariidae. The record is from RNAcentral.